This 76-nucleotide transfer RNA is filed under the name Faecalibacterium prausnitzii. Its description in RNAcentral is "tRNA-Pro". It matches the Rfam family "tRNA". From Rfam's summary of the family: Transfer RNA (tRNA) molecules are approximately 80 nucleotides in length. Their secondary structure includes four short double-helical elements and three loops (D, anti-codon, and T loops). RNAcentral also lists the same sequence under 28 other names. Lineage: Bacteria; Bacillati; Bacillota; Clostridia; Eubacteriales; Oscillospiraceae. The record is from RNAcentral.
CCGGGUAUAGCGAAGUUGGUAUCGCGCCUGGUUUGGGACCAGGAGACCGUGCGUUCGAGCCGCACUACUCGGACCA